Molecule: long non-coding RNA, 1047 nt
Filed under: Malus domestica (apple)
Lineage: Eukaryota; Viridiplantae; Streptophyta; Magnoliopsida; Rosales; Rosaceae
Description: long non-coding RNA (MDOM_LNC003909)
Source: RNAcentral
AGGAGGUCCUCAGCGACGACGGAGAGGCCUCCCCUGAACCCAAACUCUUCGUGGGUAACCUUCCCUUCAGCGUCGAUAGCGCUCAGCUCGCUGGAAUCUUCGAAAGCGCUGGAAAUGUCGAGAUGGUCGAGGUAGUUCCUUGUUUUCACUCGAAAUUUCGUAACUUUUACCUGAAAUUUUGGUGAAAAGUAAAAUGGGUUGGUGCUGGUUUUGUGUUUUGUGGGUUAAAUAUGGAGGUUUUCUUGCAGGUGAUAUAUGACAAGACGACCGGAAGAAGCAGAGGAUUUGGAUUUGUGACUAUGUCCAAUGUUCAAGAAGCUGAAUCUGCUGCUCGCCAGCUAAAUGGCUAUGUAAGUCUUCAUAUUUAAGUCCGACCAUUUGCAGAUAUAUUCUUAUAUAUGCGAAAGUGUGAAAUUUUGUGAAUUUGUAUGUUAUCAGUAGUUGUAUUAAUUAACAUUCAUCGAUUGUUCCGAGUCUGGGAGUCAUUUGGUUACAUUUCAAGUUGAGUACCCUGUUUAUUUUAUAGAACUAUGAGCAAGAGUUUCAUGACAUUAUCGUGAAAGCUAUUUCAUUGAUUGAUGUUUGAAAUUUGGUCAAAAUUAUUUCAUUCUGAAAUGGUUGUUAUGGAGCUUGAUGUGGAUUUUUUGGUGUAGUGAUUGGUUGAGUUUCGUAAUGGUUUUACUGAGUAUUGCCGUCAUUUGGAUUUAUUUCAUCCAUGAGAAAUCUGUGUAUUGUAUCUAAGCAAGACUUAAUGGCAUUUGGCAGGAACUUGACGGCAGGGCAUUGAGGGUAAACUAUGGACCUCCUCCCCCUCGGACUGAGGAUUCCUCUUUCAGAGGUGCCAGAGGUCCCAGAGGUGGUGGUGGUUAUGACUCUAACAACCGCCUUUACGUGGGUAACCUUGCAUGGGGUGUUGACAAUUUGGCUCUUGAGAACUUGUUUAGUGAGCAAGGAAAGGUUUUGGAAGCCAAGGUAGUUUUUGACAGGGACAGUGGCAGAUCGAGGGGUUUCGGUUUUGUAACUUAUGAUACUGCUGAUGAAAUGAAC